GCUACGCGUCGCUCAAGAGCGUGAACAAGUGUCGACAAUGUUCAUACGCUUUCGGCGCGUUUGUCUUGCGGAGCGGGGAGCGAUCGAAAUGGCUGAUGUGUUCGUCAAGAAAAAACUAGAAGAUUGGAGUUUUCAUCGAACUUUGAAACGAACCUUUCGAGAGAUAUGGUAUCUCCAACAUUAUCACAUUGCUGAAGGUUGUAAAGGCCAAAAAUAACAAAGAUAUUUAUUUAAUAUUUGAUUUUAUGGGUAUAUGAAUUACAUUUUCGCAAAGAAGACAUUCUUCAUGAAGCAGAAUUCUUCGAUGAAAAGUCGAUGAGACUUCUAAAGAGUGAAAUAUUUGGUAUGUCCCACAGUGACUCAAAUGCUGCAUCCAGUGCUUUCACAUUUAUGAUCCAAAGUUUAUUGUCUCCGUACAAAGAUGUGGCACAUAUUUUGCCAGUGCGUAGCAUAGAUGCUGACGAUUUCCAUUCAUAUAUAAAAAAAAUCUUGAUUGGUUUAGCUGCCAUAGGGUUUAAUGUCAUAUCAGUAGCCACUGACAAUAAUGCUAUUAAUAAAAAGGCCGUUAAUAUGUUUGCCUCUCCCCUUGAGUCGCGGGUUAGGUAUGAUUAUCCUGGAAGUCCAGGAAAAUAUUUCUAUUUUUCUUUUGAUUCCGUUCAUUUGAUUCCGUUCAUAUUUUUACAGACUACAUUCAGAUUCUUUGCAAGUGGUGGUCAAUAAUGAAUGUGAAAACUUUGUAUAAGGGUGAGCAUAAAAGGGAUGAGUUCCAAACGCCUCUCACACCAAAUACUGACACAGCUCAGUAUAAGUUCUUAACUAACUUUAUUAAUUGGUUAGACAAAUGGGAGGAAAUGAAUUGUACAACUGGUGGAUUAACAAAGCAAACCCAUCUAGCCAUAAGCCAUACUACAAAAGCUAUGCUUGCUCUUGCCGAGUACUGUUUUAAAACUUUAAAUUUCGAUUAUUUUUUACCAGGGAAAAUACAGACUCAUUAGAAGACAGAUUUGGGUCUUACCGUACAUUGGCAGGGUCAAAUUACAAUGUCAGUAUACGUCAAAUUUAUGACACUGAAACAAAAUUGAGAAUGCAAACAAUUUUACCCCUUGUGUUAAAAUUGAAAAGUUGUGGAGAAUUGUUACUAAGUUUUUUUCAGGACAAACAUUGGGAUGAAGAUGAAGAUAGCUCAGAUUCAUAUCCUUUUUUUAAUGGUUUUCUAAUCACUCCGGAAGAAAUGGUAAGUACUCAAUCGAGUUUGCCAAUUUUAACAUACAUUAGUGGAUAUGCAGCUCAUAAAGUUCUAUUGAAACUAAAGUGUGAACAAUGUCGAUCAACUUUAUGCAUUGAUAAGCCCCUUGACACAGAUGUAAACAAUGAUUGGAUAUCAAAAUUAGACAGCGGAGGGUUGAAAUACCCACAUCCCGAAGUUGUUUGUGUUUCUCAAUUCACAUAUGUAGUUGUAAACAAAUUGUUGUCAACACAUUUUGAAUCAAAUUUUAUCAGUUGUCAAAAUCACAGAAAGGUUGUAAAAUAUUUAACUCUUGAUGUACUGGAUGAAAAUGAUAUUUCUCUAGGUAUCGAUGAAUGUGAGAGUCAUGAUUCUCUGUUUCUUGUAAAACAAAUUGUAUGGGUUUUCAUUAAUAUAUUUUUGAACAACUUUUGCAAAAAACAAAAUGAUUCUCUUCAAAAAAUGAAAAAAGAUCAAAAAGAAAAAAAUACACUGAAAAAAUUUAAGAAAGAUGCACGUAAAUUGUCCACACUAAAUAAAUAAGCAAUUUUAUAUUGUUUCUAUGAGUUAUCUUUUAAAAUGUAAAAGUUUGACUGAAUUAUCCUAAACUAUUUUUAAAUUACAACCUAGGGAAUAGGUGGAAACACUAUGAUGUACCUUGCCGAUUAUUGUCAAGGUUGCCACGCCACAGGGAAACCUGAAGAAACAGGGAAAACAUAGGGAAUUCAAAUAUAUGUAUAUAUAUAUAUAUAUAAAGAACUGACCAUCCAGCGAAUUUCAAAAAUUUCCUCAAAAACCUGGAAAAUACAGGGAAUUUUUUUCUUCUUAAAUUGAAGUUGCGAAAAUCAAUUUCCUAAUAUAUAAACCGCCAAAAAACAAAUAAAUUACUAGUAAUAAUUAUAAUGAUAAUAUUAAUAAAGUAAAAUAAAAAAUGGCAAUUUUGCUUAAGUUUUUAUUUUCAAGUUAAAUAUUAAAAUAUUCAUCAUAAAAAUAGAUUCUUGAAUUUCAUGAUAAUUUUGAGUGUAUGAAAUUAGUCGUCAAUAAUCUUUAUUCUGGGUCAC
Uloborus diversus is the source of this 2286-nucleotide long non-coding RNA. RefSeq lists it as uncharacterized. The record is from RefSeq and is a predicted model, not a curated record. Lineage: Eukaryota; Metazoa; Arthropoda; Arachnida; Araneae; Uloboridae. The transcript is spliced from 3 exons.